GCCAUUAUGGUGAAAUUGGUAUACACGCUUCUCUUAGGAAGCAGUGCGAGAGCAUCUUGGUUCUAGUCCGAGUAGCGACA
This 80-nucleotide transfer RNA is filed under the name Monotropa hypopitys var. americana. Its description in RNAcentral is "tRNA-Leu". Lineage: Eukaryota; Viridiplantae; Streptophyta; Magnoliopsida; Ericales; Ericaceae. The record is from RNAcentral.